RNAcentral lists this ribosomal RNA (651 nucleotides) under Triticum aestivum (bread wheat). Its description in RNAcentral is "partial small subunit ribosomal RNA". The record is from RNAcentral. Lineage: Eukaryota; Viridiplantae; Streptophyta; Magnoliopsida; Poales; Poaceae.
CAUUCAUUGAAGCUUCAGCGACCCAUAAAGCCCGAGAAGUGAAGCCCUCUUCAAUCCUCUACCUCUCUCGCUGUUGUGUCCAGCCUGCUGCCUGCCUGCUGUGUUGCCUCAAAGAAGGGUCGGGGGCACUUGAUGUGGAGGAUGGCGACAAGGAGAAGUGAGGAUUUCGUGAGGACAGAAACAACGGGAGAGAUAAAACAUACUCCUCUGGUGCAUUGAAUUUAGACUGUUUGAUGUUCUGCUGCUGGUCAAUUCAGUUUCCGUGCCCCGGUUUCAUGACGGGAGUUGUCCGUCAGGGGGUAAGUUAUAGGCGCACGCAAGCGCGCAUGUGCUCGUGCAUCUCGGUGUGUGGACACGGGAUGCUCUCUUUGCAGUUCAGAGUAAGAGCGAUCAUAUAUGGCUUGAGAUAUUGCAUAGGAAAAGGAUCUACCAGAUCAUCAAUGCAACACAGGACAUCUGAAUUUAACCUUAUCUUUCUCUUUUCUUUUGAAAGGGAUAGAGGAGUGGAAAGGCGUACUGCUUGAUCAGAAACUAAGGAGUUUGCAUCAUUAUUAGCUGCCAGUAUAGCUUAUUUUGAGCUUAACCACAUACCUGAUUGUUGUGUAUGAAAGCAUAAUCCUAUCAAAUACUCUUCUUUUUUGCUUGGGUGUU